Molecule: non-coding RNA, 25 nt
Filed under: Mus musculus (house mouse)
Lineage: Eukaryota; Metazoa; Chordata; Mammalia; Rodentia; Muridae
Source: RNAcentral
UGCAGUGCUUGUGACAUGAAUCACA